This 450-nucleotide ribosomal RNA is filed under the name uncultured bacterium. RNAcentral's name for it is "partial 16S ribosomal RNA". It matches the Rfam family "Bacterial small subunit ribosomal RNA", at positions 354 to 796 of the family's 1533-position model. The record is from RNAcentral.
GUGAGGAAUAUUGGACAAUGGGCGAAAGCCUGAUCCAGCCAUGCCGCGUGUGUGAAGAAGGUCUUCGGAUUGUAAAGCACUUUAAGUUGGGAGGAAGGGCAGUAAGUUAAUACCUUGCUGUUUUGACGUUACCGACAGAAUAAGCACCGGCUAACUUCGUGCCAGCAGCCGCGGUAAUACGAAGGGGGCGAGCGUUAAUCGGAAUUACUGGGCGUAAAGCGCGCGUAGGUGGUUCGUUAAGUUGGAUGUGAAAGCCCCGGGCUCAACCUGGGAACUGCAUCCAAAACUGGCGAGCUAGAGUACGGUAGAGGGUGGUGGAAUUUCCUGUGUAGCGGUGAAAUGAGUAGAUAUAGGAAGGAACACCAGUGGCGAAGGCGACCACCUGGACUGAUACUGACACUGAGGUGCGAAAGCGUGGGGAGCAAACAGGAUUAGAUACCCUAGUAGUCC